UCCAGUAGUCGUGGUGACGGUAAGAUUGGUGGUGCUGGCGGUGGUUAUACUGUUCCAUACACACCCACACACACUGCCAUGAACACUCAAAAGACACUCUUAUAUACCGAAAACAUUCGUAAACACACUCAAACACACCAACAGCAUGCCUACACACACACACACACACACACAUGAAGUGUUGCUAUCACCGACAGAUUUCAAAUAGUGCCAAUCACCAAUCACCAUGCGGCAAGACAAGCAGUGCAAUUACACGCCUUCACCACAACCUCCACACUGCCUUAUCUUCAUCAAUUAAAGGCUCAGACGUGAAGACAGAAGUAAUAGAAAAAAGGAGGAGAAAUAAAGGAGGAGUACGAAGAAUGAACGAGAAAUAUAGACGGAAUAGGAGAAGGAGCUAAAGUGGAAUAAUUAGACAGACCUACAGACGACCCCCGCACGGAAGACCAACGACUUAUGUGCCUCAGACAGUCAGCUCUCCUACGGCGGUGUCAAUGGCAUCUCGAAGCAGCGCAUGUGUGAUGGCUUCAGUGACUACUGCAGUAACGGAGAGGAUGAGUUUGUACAGGUGUGUGGCAUUGACGAGUGCCGGGAGAAGAAUGUCGGGUGUGUGUGCAUCAACACUCGAGAGUCAUACUGCUACUACCGCCAGUGCCGGCCAUGCAGACUCGUCAGGAAGUUCAACUGUGAAGACGUUGACAAGUGCGUGGAGUCGCCCAGAUCCUCUCUCAGUGGUAGGGCUGGGCAGGAUUCUAUAAAACGAAGUAAUCGCGAGUUCGAUUACUUGCCCUGUUGGAUUCGUGGGAUUCGAAUCCUCCACGAAUCCUAUGUACUCUUAACAGCCCAGGACGCCCGAGAUUCUUCCUCAGCCAGUGAUAUUGUCUGCCAGGCGCGAGAUUCGUUGGUGUUUGCAAGGGAAUCCAGGAUUCCCCUCCACCUGUCACAAACAAACAUCACGACUCUCGCCCUUUGGUAGAAUUUGCCGAGAUGCAGACCGUGUCUCCCAUGAUGCUUACCAAGUGGUGUGUGGUGGAGUGUGGUGUGAGUACUCCCUGGACUGCGACUUCACUGUGACCCGAGAGAAGGUGGCCACUCAAUGCUGAGGUCACACAGCUCCCUUCCUUAUGCAGGAAAGUCAAGCCAAGGUCCCUGAAUGCUGCUAAGGAAACACACUGCUGCUGGAACACUGCACCACCAAGCCAAGCCAAGCCAAGCCACAACACAACACAAGCCUUCUACAACACCUACAGUCAUCAACAACACCCAGAUUACAAGACAAAACCUGGAGCCAUGAAGAACAGUUAGGAUAGAUUAGCAGUUUUUUUUUUUUUAAGGACAUUUAAGACAAGUUUGACAUGUUUUUCAGGGUAUUUUG
This is a long non-coding RNA of Portunus trituberculatus (swimming crab), 1375 nucleotides long. RefSeq lists it as uncharacterized. NCBI's taxonomy places the organism in Eukaryota, Metazoa, Arthropoda, Malacostraca, Decapoda, Portunidae. The record is from RefSeq and is a predicted model, not a curated record. The transcript has 7 exons.